UACAGAGGGUGCAAGCGUUAAUCGGAAUUACUGGGCGUAAAGCGCACGUAGGCGGUUUUUUAAGUCAGAUGUGAAAGCCCCGGGCUCAACCUGGGAAUUGCAUUUGAAACUGGGAAACUAGAGUGUGUGAGAGGGGGGUAGAAUUCCAAGUGUAGCAGUGAAAUGCGUAGAGAUUUGGAGGAAUACCAGUGGCGAAGGCGGCCCCCUGGCACAACACUGACGCUCAGGUGCGAAAGCGUGGGGAGCAAACAGG
RNAcentral lists this ribosomal RNA (253 nucleotides) under uncultured bacterium. RNAcentral describes it as "partial 16S ribosomal RNA". It matches the Rfam family "Bacterial small subunit ribosomal RNA", at positions 524 to 776 of the family's 1533-position model. The record is from RNAcentral.